RNAcentral lists this ribosomal RNA (726 nucleotides) under uncultured Acetobacter sp. RNAcentral's name for it is "bacterial SSU rRNA". It matches the Rfam family "Bacterial small subunit ribosomal RNA", at positions 13 to 783 of the family's 1533-position model. Lineage: Bacteria; Pseudomonadati; Pseudomonadota; Alphaproteobacteria; Acetobacterales; Acetobacteraceae. The record is from RNAcentral.
UUGAUCCUGGCUCAGAGCGAACGCUGGCGGCAUGCUUAACACAUGCAAGUCGCACGAAGGUUUCGGCCUUAGUGGCGGACGGGUGAGUAACGCGUAGGAAUCUAUCCACGGGUGGGGGAUAACUUCGGGAAACUGAAGCUAAUACCGCAUGAUACCUGAGGGUCAAAGGCGCAAGUCGCCUGUGGAGGAGCCUGCGUUUGAUUAGCUUGUUGGUGGGGUAAUGGCCUACCAAGGCGAUGAUCGAUAGCUGGUUUGAGAGGAUGAUCAGCCACACUGGGACUGAGACACGGCCCAGACUCCUGCGGGAGGCAGCAGUGGGGAAUAUUGGACAAUGGGGGCAACCCUGAUCCAGCAAUGCCGCGUGUGUGAAGAAGGUUUUCGGAUUGUAAAGCACUUUCGGCGGGGACGAUGAUGACGGUACCCGCAGAAGAAGCCCCGGCUAACUUCGUGCCAGCAGCCGCGGUAAUACGAAGGGGGCUAGCGUUGCUCGGAAUGACUGGGCGUAAAGGGCGUGUAGGCGGUUUGUACAGUCAGAUGUGAAAUCCCCGGGCUUAACCUGGGAGCUGCAUUUGAUACGUGCAAACUAGAGUGUGAGAGAGGGUUGUGGAAUUCCCAGUGUAGAGGUGAAAUUCGUAGAUAUUGGGAAGAACACCGGUGGCGAAGGCGGCAACCUGGCUCAUAACUGACGCUGAGGCGCGAAAGCGUGGGGAGCAAACAGGAUUAGAU